AUUGAACGCUGGCGGCAGGCCUAACACAUGCAAGUCGAACGGUAACAGGAAGAAGCUUGCUUCUUUGCUGACGAGUGGCGGACGGGUGAGUAAUGUCUGGGAAACUGCCUGAUGGAGGGGGAUAACUACUGGAAACGGUAGCUAAUACCGCAUAACGUCGCAAGACCAAAGAGGGGGACCUUCGGGCCUCUUGCCAUCGGAUGUGCCCAGAUGGGAUUAGCUAGUAGGUGGGGUAACGGCUCACCUAGGCGACGAUCCCUAGCUGGUCUGAGAGGAUGACCAGCCACACUGGAACUGAGACACGGUCCAGACUCCUACGGGAGGCAGCAGUGGGGAAUAUUGCACAAUGGGCGCAAGCCUGAUGCAGCCAUGCCGCGUGUAUGAAGAAGGCCUUCGGGUUGUAAAGUACUUUAAGCGGGGAGGAAGGGAGUAAAGUUAAUACCUUUACUCAUUGACGUUACCCGCAGAAGAAGCACCGGCUAACUCCGUG
Molecule: ribosomal RNA, 490 nt
Filed under: uncultured bacterium
Lineage: Bacteria
Description: partial 16S ribosomal RNA
Rfam family: Bacterial small subunit ribosomal RNA
Source: RNAcentral